AUUGAACGCUGGCGGCAUGCUUUACACAUGCAAGUCGGACGGCAGCACAGAGAAGCUUGCUUCUUGGGCGGCGAGUGGCGAACGGGUGAGUAACAUAUCGGAACGUACCGAGCAGUGGGGGAUAACUAAUCGAAAGAUUAGCUAAUACCGCAUAUUUUCUGAGGAAGAAAGCAGGGGACCAUUUGGCCUUGCGCUGUUUGAGCGGCCGAUAUCUGAUUAGCUAGUUGGUGGGGUAAAGGCUUACCAAGGCGACGAUCAGUAGCGGGUCUGAGAGGAUGAUCCGCCACACUGGGACUGAGACACGGCCCAGACUCCUACGGGAGGCAGCAGUGGGGAAUUUUGGACAAUGGGCGCAAGCCUGAUCCAGCCAUGCCGCGUGUCUGAAGAAGGCCUUCGGGUUGUAAAGGACUUUUGUCAGGGAAGAAAAGGGCGGGGUUAAUACCCCUGUCUGAUGACGGACCUAAGAAAAGC
Molecule: ribosomal RNA, 471 nt
Filed under: Neisseria flava
Lineage: Bacteria; Pseudomonadati; Pseudomonadota; Betaproteobacteria; Neisseriales; Neisseriaceae
Description: bacterial SSU rRNA
Rfam family: Bacterial small subunit ribosomal RNA
Source: RNAcentral